RNAcentral lists this ribosomal RNA (253 nucleotides) under uncultured bacterium. Its description in RNAcentral is "partial 16S ribosomal RNA". It matches the Rfam family "Bacterial small subunit ribosomal RNA", at positions 524 to 776 of the family's 1533-position model. The record is from RNAcentral.
UACGUAGGUGGCAAGCGAUACUCGGAAUCACUAGGCGUAAAGCGCAGGUAGGCGGUUUGGUAAGUCUUUUGUGAAAGCUCCCGGCUCAACUGGGAGAGGUCAAGGGAAACUACCGGACUAGAGUGUGGUAGGGGAUACUGGAAUUCCUGGUGUAGCGGUGAAAUGCGUAGAUAUCAGGAGGAACACCGGUGGCGAAGGCGGUUCUCUGGGCAUGAUCUGACGCUGAGGAGCGAAAGUGUGGGGAGCGAACAGG